RNAcentral lists this long non-coding RNA (468 nucleotides) under Heterocephalus glaber (naked mole-rat). Its description in RNAcentral is "lncRNA (ENSHGLG00100038713.1)". The record is from RNAcentral. Lineage: Eukaryota; Metazoa; Chordata; Mammalia; Rodentia; Bathyergidae.
GCGGGACCCCAACUCCAGACCGGGCGGGGUGACUCGGCAGCCCCGAGGUCUGAAGGACUGGAAGAGCGAUCGGGUCCCGGAUGUGUGGUUAAAGAGCACCACAUUCACCCCGAAAGACUGGAGGUUUGCAGACCGGCAGGAGGCCCCUGGGGCCGGGCGUGGUCUCUGGACUAUUUUAAUGGGCCUUUAUGUCAGUCAUCCUCUGUGGGUACUUUUAGUUCUGCUGAAGAAUUUACAAAGUGUUUUCUACGGCAAGAGUUCUUAAAAAGGAAUGGUCACUUCUGCACCUUAGAAGUGCUGCCGAAGGAAGGGCCUGGCAGGACGCAAGCACCUUGAUAUUGGACCACCAGCUUCCGGAACUGAGAGCUGACUUCUCUUGUCUCAGUCUGUGGUAUUCUGUGAGAGCAACAUAAAAUGGACUGAGACCCAGGCACUACUCGUGAUUCUUGCUUGAUCUUUCCCCAUGGC